UACGAAGGUCCUAAGCGUUAUCCGGAUUCACUGGGUUUAAAGGGUGCGUAGGUGGGCAGGUAAGUCAGUGGUGAAAUCUCCGGGCUUAACUCGGAAACUGCCAUUGAUACUAUCUGUCUUGAAUACCGUGGAGGUCAGCGGAAUAUGUCAUGUAGCGGUGAAAUGCUUAGAUAUGACAUAGAACACCAAUUGCGAAGGCAGCUGGCUACACGAAUAUUGACACUGAUGCACGAAAGCGUGGGGAGCAAACAGG
This 253-nucleotide ribosomal RNA is filed under the name uncultured bacterium. RNAcentral describes it as "partial 16S ribosomal RNA". It matches the Rfam family "Bacterial small subunit ribosomal RNA", at positions 524 to 776 of the family's 1533-position model. The record is from RNAcentral.